RNAcentral lists this ribosomal RNA (322 nucleotides) under uncultured Chloroflexota bacterium. RNAcentral's name for it is "bacterial SSU rRNA". It matches the Rfam family "Bacterial small subunit ribosomal RNA", at positions 28 to 351 of the family's 1533-position model. The record is from RNAcentral. Lineage: Bacteria; Bacillati; Chloroflexota.
GAUGAACGCUGGCGGCGUGCUUAAUACAUGCAAGUCGAACGGAAAUUGUAGCAAUACAAUUUUAGUGGCGAACGGGUGAGUAACGCGUUGGUGACCUGCCCCGAAGAGAGGGAUAACAGUCCGAAAGGAUUGCUAAUACCCCAUAUGGUCACGAGGAUUAGAUGCCUUGUGAUUAAAGGAGAAAUUCACUUUGGGAGGGGCCUGCGUCCCAUCAGCUAGUUGGUAGGGUAAAAGCCUACCAAGGCGAUGACGGGUAGGGGACCUGAGAGGGUGGCCCCCCACAAUGGAACUGAAACACGGUCCAUACACCUACGGGAGGCUG